This 332-nucleotide ribosomal RNA is filed under the name uncultured bacterium. Its description in RNAcentral is "bacterial SSU rRNA". It matches the Rfam family "Bacterial small subunit ribosomal RNA", at positions 568 to 898 of the family's 1533-position model. The record is from RNAcentral.
CGCGUAGGCGGUGCGGUAAGUCACCUGUGAAACCUCCGGGCUCAACUCGGAGCCUGCAGGCGAAACUGCCGUGCUGGAGUGUGGGAGGGGUGCGUGGAAUUCCCGGUGUAGCAGUGAAAUGCGUAGAGAUCGGGAGGAACACCUGUGGCGAAAGCGGCGCACUGGACCACAACUGACGCUGAGGCGCGAAAGCUAGGGGAGCAAACAGGAUUAGAUACCCUGGUAGUCCUAGCCCUAAACGAUGGAUGCUUGGUGUAGCCGGUACCCAAUCCGGCUGUGCCGCAGCUAACGCGAUAAGCAUCCCGCCUGGGGAGUACGGUCGCAAGGCUGAA